UUAAGAGUCUGAAGGAUAACUUAAAAUUUUCAACUAAACUACACUGAAGUAAUACUCAUGAAUUUGGGGAUUUGUGACUGGACCUGUGAAUGCCAAGAAUCUACCCUCGGUCCAAAUCCUAAAGUUGCCUUGUCACAGAGACAGCAUUUUAUAAAAACCUUGUCAUUAACCAUCACCUUGCUUCACCGGCAGGGUAAUCAUUGAGCCAUUCAUCUGUGCUUUAGUGUCACUGCCAUAGGAGGCUCAAACAAAGGCCCCUGCAGAAGGAGUUUGGAGCAGGGCCAAGCCAUCCCAGCCUUUGCCCUCAAUUGCACACCGAGUGGAGAGUCUCUUAGUCCAGGAGUCUGUGCUGCUCAAGAGUUUGCAUAAACACAGUGUUGAGAAAUAACUCUUGCUGGAGUGCGUGCACAAGGCAAAGGCGGACUGAUCCCCUGGGAUGGAGACAUUACCAAGUUGGCUGUAGCUGUUCCACAUUGGAUCCCUAGUGGGAAUAGCUUGUCUAAGUGUCAGUCUUCUCCCACUACUUGGUGACAGCUGACAAGCUUCCCUAUAAUCUUGCCUCUGGGUAUUCACUCCUUCGUAUAAUGCCUUCCUCUUAAGUGUGGAUUGGACCUGGUGACCUGCUUCUAAGAAAUGGAAUACACAAAGUGAAUGGGAUAUCACUUCCAUGACUAGGUUACAAAAGAUUGGGACUUCCGUCUCACUAGCAUGCUGGCAUCCUCUCUCACUCUUUCUGCUUGCUCACUCUGAUAAAACAAGUUGCCAUAUGGAUGGCAAGGAACAGAGGGUAGCCUCUGGGCACCAGCCAUCAGAGAAUGGAGGCCCUUAGUCCAACAACCAGUGAGGAAGGGAACCUGCCAAAACCACGUAAGGGAGCUUUGAGGCAGAUUCUUCCGCAGUCAAGCCUUCGGAUAAGACUGAAGCCUCGGCUGACAGCUAGAUGCAGCCUUGUAAGAACCCUGAGAAAGAGGACACAGCCAGGCUGUGGAUUCUGGAAGCCUGACUCCUGGCUGAGAUAAACUGUGAGAUGAUAAGUAUUGUCAUUUUAAGACACUGAAGAGUCUAAGGUUGGGGAUAAUUUGUGCCGCAGUAAAUAACCAACACAUCACCCAAGAUGGUCAAGAAUCCUCACUCUCUUAAAACUGUUUCCUCUUCCAGAACUCCUUCACAUGUGUCAAGUGUUUCGUUUACAGAUUUAAUUUUACUGAAUUUGCUAUUGAAUGGGUUGGACUCAGUCAUUUCAAAGUCCCCCUCAACUGUAAAUCUCUGAGUCAAAUUCUUUGCUCCUCCCACCAAAAAAUCAUUCACCUUUUCACCCUCAUGAAAUAAGAAGGGUGAACUGGCCACAGUUGCAGGUGUAAGAUUAUCUAGCCGUGCAGGGGGCUGCUGCUGUGAGCUGAUUCAGGAGCAGGGUGUGCUUCCUGAUCCCUGCAAGCUCCUUUCCCCUCUCCGCUCUGGAGAAGCUCAGGGUCCUCACUGCCAGCCUCCCAUCUGGGAGGGCUCUGACUCAAACACUUACUAUUUGUUCCUAUUACGGUUCCUGUCUUGUAGCAUUAGUUUAGAUAUAUCUGUGAUGCCUUUCUUGUUUCUUUUGAAAGAGCAUUUGAACUUAUAGUAAAAGAGUGCCUGAAUUCUCCCGUCUGUUCUUCUUUUGAGGGCAUUGAGACAGAGACAGGUUAAGUGGUGGCCAAACCCUGGACUUCCUUCCUUCAAA
Lutra lutra (Eurasian river otter) is the source of this 1714-nucleotide long non-coding RNA. RefSeq lists it as uncharacterized. NCBI's taxonomy places the organism in Eukaryota, Metazoa, Chordata, Mammalia, Carnivora, Mustelidae. The transcript is spliced from 3 exons. The record is from RefSeq and is a predicted model, not a curated record.